Molecule: ribosomal RNA, 252 nt
Filed under: uncultured bacterium
Lineage: Bacteria
Description: partial 16S ribosomal RNA
Rfam family: Bacterial small subunit ribosomal RNA
Source: RNAcentral
UACGUAGGGUGCAAGCGUUAAUCGGAAUUACUGGGCGUAAAGCGUGCGCAGGCGGCUUUGCAAGACAGAUGUGAAAUCCCCGGGCUUAACCUGGGAACUGCAUUUGUGACUGCAUGGCUGGAGUGCGGCAGAGGGGGAUGGAAUUCCGCGUGUAGCAGUGAAAUGCGUAGAUAUGGGAGGAACACCGAUGGCGAAGGCAAUCCCCUGGGCCUGCACUGACGCUCAUGCACGAAAGCGUGGGGAGCAAACAGG